UACAGAGGGGGCAAGCGUUGUUCGGAAUUACUGGGCGUAAAGGGCGCGUAGGCGGCCAACUAAGUCGGACGUGAAAUCCCAAGGCUCAACCUUGGAACUGCGUCCGAUACUGGAUGGCUUGAAUCCGGGAGAGGGAUGUGGAAUUCCAGGUGUAGCGGUGAAAUGCGUAGAUAUCUGGAGGAACACCGGUGGCGAAGGCGGCAUCCUGGACCGGUAUUGACGCUGAUGCGCGAAAGCCAGGGGAGCAAACGGG
RNAcentral lists this ribosomal RNA (253 nucleotides) under uncultured bacterium. RNAcentral's name for it is "partial 16S ribosomal RNA". It matches the Rfam family "Bacterial small subunit ribosomal RNA", at positions 524 to 776 of the family's 1533-position model. The record is from RNAcentral.